RNAcentral lists this ribosomal RNA (388 nucleotides) under uncultured organism. RNAcentral's name for it is "bacterial SSU rRNA". It matches the Rfam family "Bacterial small subunit ribosomal RNA", at positions 45 to 433 of the family's 1533-position model. The record is from RNAcentral.
UGCCUAAUACAUGCAAGUCGAACGGGUAUCUGUCUUCGGACAGAUACUAGUGGCGCACGGGUGAGUAACACGUGGGUAAUCUGCCUUGAAGUGGGGAAUAACCAGUCGAAAGAUUGGCUAAUACCGCAUAAGACCACAGAGUCUCAUGACUCAGGGGUUAAAGGAGCAAUUCGCUUCAAGAUGAGCCUGCGCGGGAUUAGCUAGUUGGUGAGGUAAUGGCUCACCAAGGCUUCGAUCUCUAGCUGGUCUGAGAGGGUGAUCGGCCACACUGGAACUGAGACACGGUCCAGACUCCUACGGGAGGCAGCAGUGGGGAAUAUUGCACAAUGGGCGCAAGCCUGAUGCAGCAACGCCGCGUGAGCGUGAAGGCCUUCGGGUCGUAAAGCUC